AUUGAACGCUAGCGGGAUGCUUAACACAUGCAAGUCGAACGAGUGGGGGGCGGGUGAGCAAGAAAUCGGCACGUGCCCAGGAGCGGGGGAUAACUACUCGGAACAGUUGCUACUACCGCAUACUUGAGGAGCGGCCGAAAUCGGAUUAGCUAGUUGGAGGGGUAAAGGCCUACCAAGGCCACGAUCCGUAGCUGGUUUGAGAGGACGACCAGCCACACUGGGACUGAGACACGGCCCAGACUCCUACGGGAGGCAGCAGUGGGGAAUUUUGGACAAUGGGUGAAAGCCUGAUCCAGCCAUCCCGCGUGUAUGAGAAGGCCUUCGGAUUGUAAAGUACUUUUGGCUGAGAAGCGGUACCUACAGAAUAAGCACCGGCUAACUACGUGCCAGCAGCCGCGGUAAUAC
This 405-nucleotide ribosomal RNA is filed under the name uncultured bacterium. Its description in RNAcentral is "partial 16S ribosomal RNA". It matches the Rfam family "Bacterial small subunit ribosomal RNA", at positions 30 to 526 of the family's 1533-position model. The record is from RNAcentral.